This 247-nucleotide ribosomal RNA is filed under the name uncultured Actinomycetes bacterium. RNAcentral describes it as "uncultured actinobacterium partial 16S ribosomal RNA". It matches the Rfam family "Bacterial small subunit ribosomal RNA", at positions 28 to 276 of the family's 1533-position model. Lineage: Bacteria; Bacillati; Actinomycetota; Actinomycetes. The record is from RNAcentral.
GACGAACGCUGGCGGCGUGCUUAACACAUGCAAGUCGAGCGGUAAGGCCCUUUCGGGGGUACGACGAGCGGCGAACGGGUGAGUAACACGUGGGUGACCUGCCUUCAGCUCUGGGAUAAGCCUGGGAAACUGGGUCUAAUACCGGAUAUGACUCCAUGAUGCAUGUUGUGGGGUGGAAAGCCUUGUGCGGCUGGGGAUGGCCCGCGGCCUAUCAGCUUGUUGGUGGGGUGAUGGCCUACCAAGGCGA